GCCUUCUUAGCUCAGUGGUAGAGCGUUGGUCUCGUAAACCAAAGGUCGAGAGUUCAAUUCUCUUAGGAGGCA
This 72-nucleotide transfer RNA is filed under the name Daphnia magna. RNAcentral's name for it is "tRNA-Thr". It matches the Rfam family "tRNA". Rfam says of the family: Transfer RNA (tRNA) molecules are approximately 80 nucleotides in length. Their secondary structure includes four short double-helical elements and three loops (D, anti-codon, and T loops). Lineage: Eukaryota; Metazoa; Arthropoda; Branchiopoda; Diplostraca; Daphniidae. The record is from RNAcentral.